Molecule: long non-coding RNA, 10850 nt
Organism: Cheilinus undulatus (humphead wrasse)
Lineage: Eukaryota; Metazoa; Chordata; Actinopteri; Labriformes; Labridae
Exons: 7
Source: RefSeq, a predicted model, not a curated record
AUUUGUUAAGCACUGUAUAUCUACUUAUAUGAUGCUGUUUUAGUUAAGUUUCAUCUAUUUAAACAUAAAAGUUGAGUAUUUUCUGUGAGUUUUCAUACUUGUAAAGGCUCCCAUGAGGUCUGAUGGGGAACAAUUUAAAACACAAAGCUCAAAUAUUUGCUCACUCAGAUAUUUUUUGUAAGGAAAAACAACUGCAUAUAUCCAGGACUGCAGUAAGUUAGCAUGGUAAUGAGGGGAAUGUCUUUGCCCACAGAGAGUGCAAAAGUUUACAAAAAUUAUAAGGGACUCACAGGAGUUUUAUGUAUUUCCAUUUAAUGAUUUUCCAUUCUGUAACUCCUCUACAAAUCUUACUGAAUCUUUAUUGUAUGCACAGCAUGUACAGCAAAUAAAACAGGUACACAAUAUACGUAGCCAAAUGUAAUGCAACACAUCGCAAUGCAAAGCAAAGCACUGUGUAAUGUAACAACAAGGAACAUCACAAAAUACAACUUAACAACAUUGCAUUGCAUAUUGCAAGAGCAAAUUACAUAGCAUAGUACAAUGUAAUGUGACCUAUGUAAUGUAACGUAGUGUAGCUUAACGUAGCCUAAUGUAGCAUACCUUAGCAUAACAUAGCAUAGUGUAAUGGAGGAUAGCAUAAUGUAGCAUAGCGUAAUGAAGCAUAGCGUAACGUCGCAUGGUCUAAUGUAGCAUAGCAUAUCGUAGCAUAGCGUAACAAAAAGAAACAUCAAAAAAUGCAACUUAACAACAUUGCAUGCAUAUUGUAACAUUAAAUUACAAAGUAUAGUGUAGCAUAACAUAGGGUAACUUAGCAUAACUAAGCAUAGUGUAAUGUAUUAUAGUGUAUCCAAAAGGAACACUUCAAAACUUGCAACUUAACGUUGCAUUAAAUAUUGUAACUUAAAUACCAUUGCAUAGUAUAAGAUAAUGUAAUAUAUAUAUAUACACAACACAGCACAAUGUAGCAUAACAUAGCAUAAUGUAUGAUGGCGUAACAAACCGAAACAAAAACGAACAUCUCAAAAUGCAACUUACCGUUGCAUUUCAUAUUUAAACAUUAAAUAACAUAGCUUAGUAUAACAUAAUGUAACAAACAAUCAUAACACAACAUAACGUAGCUAAACGUAGCGUAACAUUACAUUAUAUAUUGUUAAAUCAAAUAGCAAAGUACAGUGUAAUGUAACGCAAUAUAGCAUAACGUUGCGUAACGUAGCAUAGCCUAACAAAAAGGAACAUCUGAAAAUGCAGUUUUACAUUGCGUUGCAUACUGUAACAUUAAAUAACAUAGCAUAGUACAAUGUAAUAUAACCUAAUGUUAAAUAAUGCAGAGUAACUUAGCAUAACGUAGCCUAAUGUUGCAUAACGUAGCAAAAUGUAGCAUAACGUAGCAAGACUUAGCAUAACAUAUCAUAGUGUAACAAAAAAGGGGACAUCUCAAAAUGCAAUAUUGCACAUUCUAACACUGAAUAACAUAGCAUAGUGUAAUGUUGUGUAACAUAAUGUGACAUGAUGUAAUGUAACAUAACGUUACAAAGCACAGCUUAGCAUAGCAUUGCAGGGCUGAUUGUGGCCUGGGCAAGAUACUUAACCCCAAUUUGCUCCCAUUGCUGUGUCAGUGGUGUGUAAAUGCGUAUUGCAUCUACGUAUUAGUAAAUACUGAUGGUCACCCAACAUAGCUGCCUUCCCAAUUAGUGUGUGAAUUAAUAUAGUAUGCAGAAAUAGACCAAACUGUACCAUGGAGUGCUGAAAUAUACAGCUCCAUCUGGACAAAACCGUUCCUCCUACUUCUGUCUUGACUUUGUCCUGCACAUAUACAUUUUUGUUUCCAUAAGUCUGUUUCACAGCCAGCUUAAAACUCCCUCUGAGCAGAUAUAUUUGAUUGCUAAUACUUUUAUUUGAAACUGCAUAUUUCUAACUUGUAACAGAGUAUAUGUAACACUGUAGUAUUACUUCUUUGUGUUUAGUUGAACAUCUGUUCUUCUUCCACUUUUCUAAGGUACAAGUUUGCCGUUUCUUCUAGAGGUUGUAGAGAGACGUGAGAGAGUGCUGUUGAUUAUUAACAGUCACAUACUGUAAGCACACAGCCUCAACCUAACAGUCAUUAUAGAUGGACACAAAAAUCAAUGAUUUUUUCCACGGCUGAGAUCAGUUCUGACAGUUGGAGAAGAAGACUUCCAAUCAAGUAAUUAAGCAUUCACACCCCUCAGGCUUUGGUUACUGUACGCCUUAUGUAGCAUCUGUCUGUGUGUGUUUGCAUGCUAAGUAACCCUGAAGACUCUGCAAAACACAAACGGGUCAUCAAAGUGGAAGGAACCAUCAGAAUCAGCCAAUCAGGAGCGCUAAAACCCGACCACACCGGGACGCACAGAGCCCCAAACGAGCCAAUGAAUAAAUCAGAAGGCCUAAGUUGCCGGGCGGACUUUACAAUACAGAAUAGAAGGGCGCUAAUGGGUGUGGGCGACACACAUACACUUUGCAUUUGGUUGUUAACCACAAUGUGGGGACAAAUGGGGAUGGAGGGAAGGAAAAGGGGGUGAGAAAAGGGUGAGGCGACUCUUUGCAUGACUUCUUCGUUAACCACAGCACCAAAGGGACCCUGCCUCUCCUCGCACAGGACACCUGUCCCACCAGACUUUACAGACACGCAGCCGCCGUCUUGCCCAUUAAGGCUGAGGCGAACCAGUGCGGUCUGGAGAAAAACGGGACAGGAACUGGGGAAAAGCUGCAGAUGAUCAAGGGCGCCAUCGAUCGGCAGAUGGCUGUUCGCUGUUGGCGGUUUCUCAAAACUUCGUAGGAGGUUAGAGUCAGCGGGGAAGUGUAGCGAAACAAGGAGGGCGACUGAAAAUAGAGAUGGAUGACGCCAUUCUUUAAAACCCACCCCAUACGUUUCUAUAGCUUUCUACUCUGUGUAUAGCACAUUGUUUCUUCGAGAAUUUCAAGAAAACAAUCAAAGCUCCACCCUGACUUCCAACCAAAACACAACCACUGACUCUACUUUGGUUACUCAGGGAGGGUUUGGCAUUGACCAAAGUUGCUGAAGAGCUCGUAUUGGUUGCACACUGUGGUGAGGUUGAGCUCUACCAUUAAUCUGGUCUGUGGCCUCUCUGGUGGUUCCCUUUAGCACACACAAACACAGUCAUCCAAACAUUUGCUGAGCUAAUUUCAAGAUAAAGACAGACUAGUAUGUGGUCUAUGGCUGAACCAGCUGAUCCCGCACAAUCAUGUUUCAGUAAGACAUGAGGAAACAUUUACAUGGAGACUGGGAUAUCCCAUAGUAUGUCUGACUGACUGCAGAAAAUGGUUCAUUUGCUAUUAGUCUGUGUGGCAUACAGAUCAUAAAGAUAAAAACAUCCACUAUCUCAAAAUAUUAGAAUAUUGUUCAAAAGUCCAAUUUCUCAUCAGUUAUUUAUCUCACUUAGUUUCAGUACACACAACCACAGUCAUGGGGAAGACUGCUGACUUGUCACCCUCCACAAGGAGGGUAAGCCACAGAAGGUCACUGCUGACAGGGCAGGCUGUUCUUAGAGGCUGUGUCAAAGCAGAUUCAUGGAAAGUUGACUGGAAAGGAAAAGUGUGCUAAGAAAAAGAGCACAAGCAUCAGGGAUGAGGUCAACCGUCAGAUGAUUGACAAAAGACGAAAGUUCAAGAACAAAAGCCACCACACAGACUGGUCCAGGAAAUUGGCUACAGUUGUGUUCCAAGAGGGGCACAGAAUCCAAGGUGAUUGAAGCCCAGUGUUUCCAGUUCCCACAGUCAGCGAUGGUUUGGGUUCCAUGUCAUCUGCUGGUGUUUGUCCUCUGUGCUCUAUCGAGUCCAGAGUCAAUGCUGUCAGCCGUCUACCAGGGGAUUUAAGAGCACUUAUCUCUGAGGUUGUCAAGAGGAAGAUGAGAGACACCAAACUCAACGACACAGCUGAAGGCUGCUAUCAGAGCAACCUGGGCUUCACAACACCCCAGCAAUGCCACGGACUGAUUGGCUCUAUGCCACAUCACAUAGAUGCAGUAAUUCAUGAAGAAGGAGCUCCAACCAAGUACUGACAGCAUAAAUAAAUAUCCAUACAAAACCGUGGUCUUCAGCAACCCCCUGGGAAUGUAUGACAUCAUCAUGACAUCAUAUGCAACAGCUGAAGGAAACACAGGUAGGACCCUUGACAGUGUAAAGUUUGGACAGCAUGAUCAAUGAGCUAAAUAGCACCCUUCUUUUCCAGUGUUUGACAGUUUGACUGAUAUUAUGCAUAUUUUUGCAUGUGAAGCUCCCCAGAGCAGGUUGAUGUUACAGAACAGUGAAGCGAUUAAACAGCCGAUUGGAAGGAAGCGAGAGAGGAGAGAGAGCGGCGAGGGAGGAGACGGAGGAGGAGAGAUGAAAAGGAAGAGAGGAAAUGAAGGGAUCUUUAUUGGAGCGCCGUCUUCCUGCUGCAGCUGACGGAGUGGGACAGAGGGAGGAGAACGCUGCAAAAAAUGAUGCUAAGAUUGCACACAAAGAAAUCAACUACAAAAUGUGACAUUUAAGGCACUUUAUUCUCUUUAUUUUGACCAUGAUUUGCUUACAAAUACAUGACACAUAUUACAAUUUAUUUUUUAAUUGACAACAUUUCUGAACCAUUAUAACUUUUAACAGUGGAUGUUGAUUUUUUUUGGGUGAUAAAAUGCUUAAUUCACAAUGCAUAAUGAGGUCAAACUAUAAUUUAUUUUCAUGCACUAUGAACUGCUGCCUCUCUAACAUUUAUGUAUCAAUCCACCUGUGAAAAUAGUCCCCUCCCCAACAAAAAAGUUGCAUUGAAAUCAUUCAGCUUUUAUUAGUAAAUGCUAUUGAAUCAUAAUGUGGGGAUCCAUUAUAAAAAGCAUGAGGUAAAUGUUGAUAUCUUUUGCAGUGGAAGGUGCCGAGAUCAAACAGCAGAGGCCGGUUGUGUGAUGUGUGGCCAGAUCGCCACAUGGGAGCCUCUGUGUGUGCGUAGGUGUGUGUUCUGCAUGCCUGUGUGUCUAUACAUGUACGUGUCUGUGAAGAGUGAGAGCAAAAAGAAGGACAGAUUCGAGAUGAAUCCAUAGAAGGCUUUCUGUGCUUAUUCCCAGGCUUCAGAGAGGCAGAGAUCACAGCUGGACAAAUGACCCACAACACAGAGAAAGAGAGAGAGGAGGGAUACCACAGGGUUGAAUAAAAGAAAUCAUUACAAGAGCACUAGAAAUAAAUGAAAGACAGGAUUUAUGAGCCUGUGGGUGUGUAUGGGCAUUUGAGUGUUGCUCUGAAGUGCUGAAUCAUGAUGAUGAUUUUAGCAGACUCACCAAGACUGAAGUUUAAAGCUGUGGAAGAGCAGGAAAGCAGGGGGGAACACACAGGAAAAAUAGUGUCGGACAUAUGAAAAUCUAUUCUCCAACUUUUUCCUCUAUCAACUAGCAGAAAUAGAUUAUGAUCCCUCAGGAAAUACAACACAAAGAAAGGAAAAAUGACACUGUGUGUAUUUCUUACACUGCUAAUGAUAGACAUUCAUGGUCUCCAGAAGAUGAUUCCUGAUUAUUUGGAUGACUGUUCAGACCUUUCCUCAAAACAAAAGUUUCCUUUUCUAAUAAUUUAUAGAAAGUCAACAUACAAUCUCUUCAUCUCCUAAAAAAUGAUUUUAUACAGUCCUGCUCUCCAGAGGAUUAACCAUUUAAAUUUCAGGAGCUUGAGUUUGAACUUUUCUUCUAGUCAGACAUGUAAUUAAAACUAUGAGACACAAAGAUGUAAAACUCAAAAGCAAUGCUUUGAUGACCUAAAUCUACACAACCAUGCUCAGUCACACUCCCAAGAGGAUAAACCCUCUCAGUUUUGGAGGUCUAACCUCUCGUUAGACCUCUGAUUUAAAGGAUGAGACACUAAGACUGAAAAUCUAAUAAGAUAACUUAUUUCACUUAAAUCCUCGCAAUCAAAGAUUUUAAAUCUUAUGGUUAGGUUUCUAUGACUUGAAUAAACAUGAUCAUUUUCACCAGAGGGUAAACUUUCCCAGGUUUAGAAACCUUGUAAACUGUUCUUUAUCGACACCCAAAACUUUAACUUUCAGACACAGUCAUGCUCCAAAGAAGACUAGUUCUGUUAUUACACACAAAGAUAAAAAAUCUUAGGGCCUGAAUCUGCACAAUCAUGCACAGUAGAACUCCCCUGAGGUUAAACCCUCCCAGUUUGGAAACCCUGUGACCUUGCUUCCACUGGGACCUCCAACUAAAAUGAUCAGACUCAAAGACUGUAAAUCUAAUAAGACAAAUUCUGCUACUUGAAUCUGCACAAACAAACAGACUUAAUUCCUUAUGUUUAUGUUUUAUAUGGCUGAAAUCUGCAGUCAUUUUCACCAGAGGAUAAACUCUCCCAGGGUUUGAGACUAUCUAAGCCAUCCUCUAAAGACACCUUAAACUUAGAUUAUCAGACACAAAGAACCUAAAACUUUAUGUUAAGGCUUCAGGGAUCUAAAUCUGGACUUUCAUGCUCCUCAGAGGAUGAACCCCAGGGUUUUAGAACUCAUAUGAACUUCCUGCUCGUAAAUCCGUAGAUCAUUUUUCUCUAAAAGAAACCUCAGAGCCUUUAGUUAAGUUUUCCAUGACUUGAACCUGCACAGUCAUGCUCCCAAAAAGACAGACCUUCUUUGUUUUAGAAAACCCACACAUUCCUUUUGCUAGACCUAAAAUUAAAGGUAUAACAGCUUGAGGUUUAAUUCCUUAUGGAAGACUUCUAUAACUUGAUUCUGCAUGGUCAUUUUCACCAGAGGAUAAACUUUCUCUGUUUUGGAAACUCUGUAAGCUAUCCUUUAUGCACUCCUUACAUUCAAAUGAUCAGGCAUAAAGACUUUGAAACAUUAUGAUAAGGCUUCUGUGUCCUGAAUUUGCUCAUUCAUGCUCCCUAGAUGAUGAACCCUGUGGUCUUAGAAACUAUGCGAACUUCCUACUUGUAGGGCCUUCAAUUAAUAGUUAUCAGACACAUUGAUAUUACGGCAAGGCUUCUCUGACCUGAAUCAGCAUGAUUAUGCACAGUCAAACUCCCCAGAGGAUGAACCCUUUCAUUGUUGGAAACCUAUGAACUUGUCCAUAGUAAGACCUUUAAGAGGAUCAGACACAAUUUCCUCCGUUGCAGUAGAUUACUGCUUUAGUGCCUGUCUUUAUUCAGGAAUCACCAACUGAAAAUCUCCUUGGAAAGGUCACAAGUGGACAUAGAAACAUGAUCAGAUAUUGCUUGUAAGUGCAUAUGAGGUAAAAUCUUCCUUAUGUGUGCUGCUACAGUGGGAAAGCAAAUAAAUCAUAUUAGGAAAACUGAUGAUGCAAUCUGCAGCUUGAAACAAUUUACUUUUGGUUUCUGCAUCAACAGCUUCUGACCUUUUUUUUUUAAGUUUAAUUGAUUAACUGUGCCUCUUCCUUCCUCUUAGCCAAUGUGGUGUGACUAAUGUGAGAAUUACCUAAAACAUUAAGACAGUGCAAAUAAAAAUGAGCAUAACAGAGCAUAAAAUUGAUUUCUUGUCAAUGAUUUCCCGCUGUUUUUUUUCUACCUUCACAAACAAGAAGCAGCUAAUUGGAAAAGUUUGUACCAAAUUAUGCCUGAACACCAGCUGGACCAUCUGAUGACAGGCGUGUCAGCUCUGCUCUGCACUUUGAACACAGUGACCGGCUGAGUAACAGUCGUCCUCGCAGUAAACUGAGGGAAGGAGAAGGAGGGGUUUCUGGUAAAACAACUCUACUAAUUUCUCAUAAGUCCUUCCUUCCUCUCUUUCAUCUGUCCCUUUUUCCAUCUCUUUGUCACUGACUAACUAACAUCAGCAGCAUGCAGGCUUGAGAACACAUUUUUACGUCUUUGAAAGCAAAUGUGCAUGUGGGAAUCAGAUGGCAGAGCAGAGGCAUCACAAUACACAGUUUAUUCUUUUCAAAUGGACUACUAAAUGAAUUCACGCUCUGAGGGAGAGAAAAAUGACCUCUUGUAAGAUGCACACUUAGUUUGCCACAAAAGUAUGUUGAUUUUAUGAUUGCAAUCCAAUGCAAAAACUAUUUGACUACAACAGGAGUAGAAACAUGACAUGACUGGUUAUUAUUUAGUUUCAAAUUCAGUAAUUUUUACCUUGGUGUCUACAGAUUUAUUAUUAGUUGGAUUACACUAUAAAAUGAGACGUUCAGGCACAAAAUCAAUUAUGUGACAUUUCUGAUCCACAAUAUAAUUCUUAACAGCUCUUCAGAGUAUCCUGGUUGGGACACCUGACAUGGCUGUCCAGGCUUCUCAAACGGCAACAACCACUGUAUAUGUCAGUAAGUAUGAGCACACAACUUUUACUGUAAUUCAAAUGAAGUAUAGAUAUUUUAUUUUGCAUGGCACUCAUAUGACUGGCGUUUGAAUUAAUAGAAGCACAUUCUUCCGUGAUGUCCCUGAAGUAACCAUUGAGAGAAAGAAACGGAGGUAACGGAAACUCAAACUAUUUCAUGGUUUGACGUUGGAGAAGACCAAGGUCAGAGUAGCAGCGCAACAAAGACUUGAUGCAAAGACAGUUGGAUCUGUUUGAAAGUUAAAUUCUAAAAAAAAUAUCAUGAAAAAUGCUGGAAAUUGUCGAAUUUUUACGAGCCUGUUGAUGACGCAGCUUUAGCUAGUAGCGCUAUGCUAGCCUUAGCAGCCUGAACCGUUAAGUCAUAAACCGCCAGGACUACUCUUCAGGAAUGUCAGACCCUGACUCCAGGAGACAAGUAUGUCUAAAUGGGAGCAGUAUUCCAAGAAGAGACCGGUGAAUGAGCAGUGAGAGUUGACUUGUGACCGAAACUUGCUUUUUUUUAAGGAGAGCUUGGGAGCCCGAGCUCAGAGCGGAUUAGCAGGUAGCUUCAGAGGAUGCUAAUGAUUACCUCAUUAUUCUAAAACUUGACAGGGAGUGUUUUUCACUAUUUUUUCUACAUAGGUCAUAACUCAGAAGUCCAAACUGAGGGCAUUAUGCAAUAAAAAGAAGAUGACCAGUUGGGCGAAGUUAAAGAUGCAGCCUGUUUAACUACAUGAAGGGCUAAUUUGGAACUAGAAUUUUCAAAAAGGGCGCUGUAUGAAGUGGACUCAGCCGUGCAACCAAUCAACAAUUUCAGACACUAGCCAGGUUCUUAUUCAUCCAGGCCAUGGUCAUCCAAAGCUUGAUCCAAGAACUGAACUGAAGAAGCCUUUGGAGGAGAGGCGAAGGACCUUAGUCAGGAGGCUGAACAACUGGGACUCCAUGUUUCCUGGGUCAAAACAAAGAACUAGGCAUUCUGGGACACCUUGGAUGCUGCUAUCAAAUCUGUGUCUGUGAAUGGUGACAGCAUGGAAGUGGGGAGCAGUUCACCUAUCUUCGCAGUGUAAUCUCAAUCCUUAACUGCCAGACUGAGGCUUGCGCAAGAAGCAAUGGGUUCACUGAGUAAGGCAGUGUGGGUGCUUUACAUUAGUCUCGAUUGACUUGAGCCUCAUUCCUCCCUUCUUUCACAAUAGCAACAUCAAUGUGUGCCCAGUCCCACAUGUGUAUGUACUCAGUCUGAUACAACAGUUGGCAUUAUGCAUAUAGCUGGUUUGCAAACCUGCAAAGGAGGAGAAAGAAGAAGAAGCUACCAUGGGAGCGACUUGGGUCAUGACCUGAGCAAAGAUUGUUAAUGUUUUAACCCGGCAAAAAGGUCAAAAAGGGUUAAAUGGGCUCGCACUAAAUGGAUAUAGUGGUUUCUGAGGUGACAGGACACUUCUAUUGCCUUUGCAUCUCGUCUCCCUGACUCCAAAUUGUGUUCAUUCAUAAGAUGACUCAUAAUGGACAGUUUGUUGACAAAAUUCUGAUGCUUUCCAAUUUACAAUGAGGAAAAUGUGAACAAACUGCUGCACUGGGAAAAGAAGUUUUUAAGAUGACAUCAUAACUGAUGUGGCUGUGUCCCAUAUCUGGGUGCGAUUGCAUUCACAUUUCCUCCCCAUGUGGGCCUGGACUAGGGCACGGUGCGUUUGCAUUCACACUGAGCAAAACCAACCAGACUUUGAGCUCAAGUGUACUUAGAUCCAGGACCGUGCUUGAAGUGUGAAGCCACCUGAGUCUUUUGGUCCUUGGAUGCUGACUGAUGGCAAAAGGCACCAGCUUGACUUUUAAAGACGGCUUUUCUUUUGGCAAAUUUUUGGGUAUCGUUGGCAAGAUCAUGGCACCUGGAGUGCUUCCCUGGGUCCCAUCCAGCCCAUUGCAUACUGGGUACCCAAGACUGGACACCAACACACUUCUGUGUGAGAAUCCAAAGACUCUACCUUCCCUGAAAAGAUGAGGUCUGCAAACAAUGCCUCGUGAUGCAACAUCAGUGACCUUACAGGACCUGGAAAAGGUCUCUGCUGGUUGGAAGGGAAACAACCACAAACAUGUGGACCACACUGGACUGACGAAUGAAAGCUCCUUGUUUGCUCAUGCCGACCUUUUCCUCUCUUUCUCCGUCAGGACGAAGCAGAGAGAAAGAUGGAAGAAAGUCACCCAUGAACCAAACUUGUCAGGAGCCUUAAGGAAGUCCUGUAGAAACGUAAUCUGAAUAACAACAUUAGUCUUGAACUAUAAACACAACAAAACAACACUCGCUGUUGAUGUUAGCGGUUGUUAGUGUGAUUCUCUUCGUAGCUGAGUGGAUAACUGGGGCCAGCUCACAGCUGCCUGCUUCACCUGUGCCUGCUUACCUUGCUCACACUUGUGGAGAUCAACAUAAAACUUCUUAAUUCUGAUGUUGUACCUUUUUUUUAGAUAAAAAGUGCAGAAUAAAACCCUGAAAUUUCAGUAUCCUGUGCAACCCUGUUAAGGAAAGAAGGCUAACUAACCUUAGCUACAUCCCCCUCUAGUGGUGUGUUGCUGUGUUACAGCUAAGACACAACAUUGAACCAGUAUCCAGGGAGUU